RNAcentral lists this ribosomal RNA (591 nucleotides) under Machilis lehnhoferi. RNAcentral's name for it is "eukaryotic LSU rRNA". The stretch from base 461 to 591 matches the Rfam family "Eukaryotic large subunit ribosomal RNA", at positions 1 to 131 of the family's 3401-position model. Lineage: Eukaryota; Metazoa; Arthropoda; Insecta; Archaeognatha; Machilidae. The record is from RNAcentral.
CAUUGCGGCUCGGGAUCCUGAUCUCGGGCCACACCUGACUGAGGGUCGGUGAUAUCAUAAGAGCAAAUUGUAUUGGGCGCCGUCCGACUCGAUUGUCGAACGCGCUCCAAAUACAAAAAGAAAGACUCGGAGAAGGCCGCCUCUCGCCCCAACUCGCGGCACGAACGCCUCUAGUGUCGCGAGCCUAGCGGGAGAGAGGAGACUUGUACGGUCGUCGUGAGUACGUGUCUUUGUGUUUUUGUUAUACGGACCAACGAGAAAAGCUCGCAAGGUAGUUGUUCGGUGGAGUAACGGAACCCUUCUUAAACCGGAGGCGCCCGCGAAAGAUCGGACUCUGCGAAUUGCGGAAUGCCGCUCGCCGAUAAAAAGAAACAAGACUCUGAAAGCGCGCGACGUCUCGUCGCUCGGUACACGACUCAGUCUAUGAAAUGAUACACAUUAUUAUUAUUAUUAUUGAUCGCGACCUCAGAUCAGGUGAGACUACCCGCUAAAUUUAAGCAUAUUAAUAAGCGGAGGAAAAGAAACUAACAAGGAUUCCCUGAGUAACGGCGAGCGAAAAGGGAAAAGCCCAGCACCGAAUCUCGUACCGUG